Molecule: ribosomal RNA, 558 nt
Filed under: uncultured Bacteroidota bacterium
Lineage: Bacteria; Pseudomonadati; Bacteroidota
Description: bacterial SSU rRNA
Rfam family: Bacterial small subunit ribosomal RNA
Source: RNAcentral
GGCGCACGGGUGAGUAACGCGUAUGCAACCUACCCUGUACUGGGGGAUAACCCGGAGAAAUUCGGACUAAUACCCCAUAAUGAUAUUUGGAGGCAUCUCUUUAUAUUUAAAGUUCCGACGGUACGGGCUGGGCAUGCGUAACAUUAGCUAGUUGGCAGGGUAACGGCCUACCAAGGCUGCGAUGUUUAGGGGUCCUGAGAGGGUGAUCCCCCACACUGGUACUGAGACACGGACCAGACUCCUACGGGAGGCAGCAGUGAGGAAUAUUGGUCAAUGGGCGCAAGCCUGAACCAGCCAUCCCGCGUGAAGGAAGAAGGCGCUAUGCGUUGUAAACUUCUUUUCCAGGGGAAUAAAAUGGUGUACGUGUACGCCACUGAAGGUACCCUGGGAAUAAGCAUCGGCUAACUCCGUGCCAGCAGCCGCGGUAAUACGGAGGAUGCAAGCGUUAUCCGGAUUUAUUGGGUUUAAAGGGUGCGCAGGCGGAUUGGUAAGUCAGUGGUGAAAUCCUGCAGCUUAACUGUAGAAUUGCCGUUGAUACUGUCAGUCUUGAGUAUGGUC